GACGAACGCUGGCGGCGUGCCUAAUACAUGCAAGUAGAACGCAGUUGCGAACGGGUGAGUAACGCGUAGGUCACUUCCUCAUCGCAGGGGAUAACUAUUGGAAACCAUAGCUAAUACCGCCUAAUGUGGGAUAGACCUGCGUUGGAUUAGCUAGUUGGUGAGGUAAAAGCUGACCAAGGCGACGAUACAGAGCCGGCCUGAGAGGGUGAUCGGCCCACACGGGAAUGAGAAAAGGGCCAAGCCUCUAAGGGGGGGAACAGUAGGGAAUCUUCGGCAAUGGGCGGAAGUCUGAACGAACAACGGCGCCUGAGUGGAGGAGGGUUUCGGAUCGGAAAGCUCUGUUGUUAGAGAAGCGGUAACUAACCAGAAAGGGACGGCUAACUACGUGCCAGCAGCCGCGGUAAUAC
RNAcentral lists this ribosomal RNA (407 nucleotides) under uncultured bacterium. RNAcentral describes it as "partial 16S ribosomal RNA". It matches the Rfam family "Bacterial small subunit ribosomal RNA", at positions 28 to 526 of the family's 1533-position model. The record is from RNAcentral.